This 253-nucleotide ribosomal RNA is filed under the name uncultured bacterium. RNAcentral describes it as "partial 16S ribosomal RNA". It matches the Rfam family "Bacterial small subunit ribosomal RNA", at positions 524 to 776 of the family's 1533-position model. The record is from RNAcentral.
UACGUAGGGUGCAAGCGUUAAUCGGAAUUACUGGGCGUAAAGCGUGCGCAGGCGGUGAUGCAAGACAGAUGUGAAAUCCCCGGGCUUAACCUGGGAACUGCAUUUGUGACUGCAUUGCUGGAGUGCGGCAGAGGGGGAUGGAAUUCCGCGUGUAGCAGUGAAAUGCGUAGAUAUGCGGAGGAACACCGAUGGCGACGGCAAUCCCCUGGGCCUGCACUGACGCUCAUGCACGAAAGCGUGGGGAGCAAACAGG